GUGUCGUUGGUUUAGUAGUAGAAUGCUCAUUUCCCAAGUGAGUGACUUAGGUUCGAUUCCUAGUCGAUGCA
This is a non-coding RNA of Nephila pilipes (giant wood spider), 71 nucleotides long. The record is from the annotation of a GenBank genome assembly. NCBI's taxonomy places the organism in Eukaryota, Metazoa, Arthropoda, Arachnida, Araneae, Nephilidae.